AUUCCGGUAGCGCAGCGCCAACUCUCGGGAGUAAAACUUGCGAGUUGUAACGUAUUAUAACGUAGCUUCAGCCGGAAGCAUUCACACGUUUCAGGCACAUCCUCCGAGUAGCAUUACCGACAAAGCCCAGCGAUGGUAGUAAAAGAUGGGCGCAUUCCGGUUCGCGAUAAGUAGAAACGGCGAGCAAUGAACUGUCUCAACAACCAAGGCUUAUUUAAUACUAGAAGUACCGAGCAUUUAAUACGACUGACAAACACAAGCAGAAGGAAGUUAUAUAUGAAAAAUUAGGUCAAGUCAGUUCCUUCGUUGUUGAGGAAAUACAAUUUUAAAAUUCGUUCAAUAGGAGAGGGUUAUAAUCGUGAAGUAGAAAGCAUCAGUCAUGGACAGACACGUUGGUGGAUUCUUAUUGGAGUAUACGUGUACUCGAUAAAGUUCAAAUUCGAUUUAACAAUUCAAGUAAAUCCAUCAAACAGAUGUAAAAUAGGCUUUUGUAGGAUUGUAUCAUCUCACAGCUUUUCCCAUAGUCUAUCAAAGAAACUGUAGUAACUGUAGUAAUUUUAUAAGUUAUUUUAAAAUAUUCUAUUAUUCUCCUUUAAAAUAAAAUCAUCAUUUUUAUAUGCAAAUUAGAUACAAAUCUCUCCACAGUGUACUUUUUAUUUUAUAUAAUUUUCAAAGUAAAUUAAUAAUUUCACUCAAAAUUUAGAAAAAAUAAGAAAAUGAAUAAGAAAUAGAAAAACGUUCAUCAAUUGAGUACGUUAUAUAAAAUAGAUAUUUCCUCGACGAACAAACAUCAAACAAUGACAAAUCACAUAAUCCAAAACAAAAUUGAAAAAGUACUUUAAUCUCCAUUAACACUAAAACUACUAAACGGGACAAAAUGACCCAUUCCCUGAUCUUCUUCUUUUUGUAAUUACUAA
Molecule: long non-coding RNA, 917 nt
Organism: Nomia melanderi (Alkali bee)
Lineage: Eukaryota; Metazoa; Arthropoda; Insecta; Hymenoptera; Halictidae
Source: RefSeq, a predicted model, not a curated record